Molecule: long non-coding RNA, 342 nt
Filed under: Rattus norvegicus (Norway rat)
Lineage: Eukaryota; Metazoa; Chordata; Mammalia; Rodentia; Muridae
Description: long non-coding RNA NONRATT028129
Source: RNAcentral
AGGCUGCCACCUCUCCACUAGCUAUCUGGAAAAGCACAGUGAGCAGAGUCUGCAGCCGAGCCGCGGGUGGAACCGAACCCCAGCCUGUCCGCGAAGUGCCUGGGUGGGGCAUGGCCCAGCCCUCCCUGCCCCGCUCAGACCGAGCUCUCAAGCUCCGAAGCUGCCUUCUCCUCUCCAAUCGCCAAGUUCCCAGAGGCCAAACCUCCACUGUCCAGGAUGAACUGUGCCUGUAGCAAGCUGAACAGUGACUGACCCUCUGCUAAAAAUUGAAGGCGCGUCCCAGUCUGGGGUGAAACACUAGCGAUGAAAACGGUCUCUAAACCGUGGCAGAGAAAAAAGAAA